CAAUAGCGUAUAUUAAAGCUGUUGCGGUUAAAAAGCUCGUAGUUGGAUUUCUGUCAAGGACAACUGGUCCGCCCUCCGGGUGAGCACAUAGUUUGGUCUUGGCAUCUUGUUCAAAACUGUUACUGCGCUUGGUUGUGUGGUGCAGUUUUGGGCACUUUCACUUUGAGGAAAUUGGAGUGUUUCAAGCAGGCACAUGCCUUUGGACACAGUAGCAUGGAAUAAUUAGAUUGGGCUUUUGCUCCAACUUGUCGGUUCCUGGAGCUGAGGUGAGAAUCAAUGGGGAUUGUUGGGGGCAUCUGAAUUUAGCCGUCAGAGGUGAAAUUCUUGGAUCUGCUAAAGACGGACAACUGCGAAAGCGUUGGCCCAGGAUGUUUUCAUUGA
Molecule: ribosomal RNA, 381 nt
Filed under: uncultured eukaryote
Lineage: Eukaryota
Description: partial 18S ribosomal RNA
Rfam family: Eukaryotic small subunit ribosomal RNA
Source: RNAcentral